Molecule: ribosomal RNA, 494 nt
Filed under: uncultured bacterium
Lineage: Bacteria
Description: bacterial SSU rRNA
Rfam family: Bacterial small subunit ribosomal RNA
Source: RNAcentral
AGAGUUUGAUCCUGGCUUAGGACGGACGCUGGCGGCGUGCCUAACACAUGCAAGUCGAACGGACGAGGGGAGCUUGCUCCCCGAGUUAGUGGCGGACGGGUGAGUAACACGUGAGCAACCUGCCCUUCGGAGGGGGACAACAGUUGGAAACGACUGCUAAUACCGCAUGACGUAUUUUGGAGGCAUCUCCGGGAUACCAAAGAUUUAUCGCCGAAGGAUGGGCUCGCGUCUGAUUAGAUAGUUGGUGAGGUAACGGCCCACCAAGUCGACGAUCAGUAGCCGGACUGAGAGGUUGAACGGCCACAUUGGGACUGAGAUACGGCCCAGACUCCUACGGGAGGCAGCAGUGGGGAAUAUUGGGCAAUGGGGGGCAACCCUGACCCAGCAACGCCGCGUGAAGGAAGAAGGCUUUCGGGUUGUAAACUUCUUUGACGAGGGACGAUCGUGACGGUACCUCGAAAACAAGCCACGGCUAACUACGUGCCAGCCGCAGC